AGUGAACGCUGGUGGUAGGCCUAACACAUGCAAGUCGAAUGGCAGCACAGUAAGAGCUUGCUCUUACGGGUGGCGAGUGGCGGACGGGUGAGGAAUACAUCGGAAUCUACUUUUUCGUGGGGGAUAACGUAGGGAAACUUACGCUAAUACCGCAUACGACCUACGGGUGAAAGCAGGGGAUCUUCGGACCUUGCGCGAUUGAAUGAGCCGAUGUCGGAUUAGCUAGUUGGCGGGGUAAAGGCCCACCAAGGCGACGAUCCGUAGCUGGUCUGAGAGGAUGAUCAGCCACACUGGAACUGAGACACGGUCCAGACUCCUACGGGAGGCAGCAGUGGGGAAUAUUGGACAAUGGGCGCAAGCCUGAUCCAGCCAUACCGCGUGGGUGAAGAAGGCCUUCGGGUUGUAAAGCCCUUUUGUUGGGAAAGAAAAGCAGCAGGUUAAUACCCCGCUGUUCUGACGGUACCCAAAGAAUAAGCACCGGCUAACUUCGUG
This 492-nucleotide ribosomal RNA is filed under the name uncultured bacterium. Its description in RNAcentral is "partial 16S ribosomal RNA". It matches the Rfam family "Bacterial small subunit ribosomal RNA", at positions 29 to 507 of the family's 1533-position model. The record is from RNAcentral.